UACGUAGGUGGCAAGCGUUGUCCGGAUUUAUUGGGUUUAAAGGGUGCGUAGGCGGCUUUGUAAGUCAGUGGUGAAAUACUCCAGCUUAACUGGAGGGGUGCCAUUGAUACUGCGGAGCUUGAGUACAGAUGAGGUAGGCGGAAUUGACGGUGUAGCGGUGAAAUGCAUAGAUAUCGUCAAGAACACCGAUAGCGAAGGCAGCUUACUGGGCUGUAACUGACGCUGAUGCACGAAAAGUGUGGGGAUCAAACAGG
RNAcentral lists this ribosomal RNA (254 nucleotides) under uncultured bacterium. RNAcentral describes it as "partial 16S ribosomal RNA". It matches the Rfam family "Bacterial small subunit ribosomal RNA", at positions 524 to 776 of the family's 1533-position model. The record is from RNAcentral.